RNAcentral lists this ribosomal RNA (252 nucleotides) under uncultured bacterium. RNAcentral describes it as "partial 16S ribosomal RNA". It matches the Rfam family "Bacterial small subunit ribosomal RNA", at positions 524 to 776 of the family's 1533-position model. The record is from RNAcentral.
GACGUACGGGGCUAACGUUAUCCGGAAUUACUGGGCGUAAAGGGCGCGUAGGUGGUUUCUUAAGUCAGAAGUGAAAGGCUACGGCUCAACCGUAGUAGGCUUUUGAAACUGAGAAACUUGAGUGAAGGAGAGGAGAGUAGAAUUUCUAGUGUAGCGGUGAAAUGCGUAGAGAUUAGGAGGAAUACCAGUAGCGAAGGCGGCGUUCUGGACUGUAACUGACACUGAGGCGCGAAAGCGUGGGGAGCAAACAGG